RNAcentral lists this long non-coding RNA (836 nucleotides) under Sus scrofa (pig). RNAcentral describes it as "lncRNA (ENSSSCG00050015652.1)". The record is from RNAcentral. Lineage: Eukaryota; Metazoa; Chordata; Mammalia; Artiodactyla; Suidae.
ACUUAUCCAAUUUUUUGGCUUCGGACUUUUCUAUCUUCCAAUUACUUGGACCUCUAUCUUGUAUGCUUGUCUCCAACAGCUUGUUUCUCAUUUUCUACCUCAAACACUCGAACAUCUUUUCAACCUUCUCUUUCUAGAUGUCUUCUGCCUCCUACCUUCUGGGCUUAGUUUUUUUCUGUCUUCUAAAAGCCGUAUUUUUUAUCUUCUAGUUUUCCUAUCUUCACUAAUCUUUUCUUCACUAAUACUUCCAUCAACUUCCAAAGAAAGCCUUAAGGCUUCAAAUGACGCAGUUUUGAUCGCGCCGUGAAUUUGAAGGCAUUUCUUAAAUCACCUUCAACUGACCUUUAAAGAUGGCUUUUAGAACAUUUUAAUCCAUCUACGACUGGACUUUAAAAGUAUUGUUUAGGUUCUAUUUAUAGCAUUACGUUUGAACAAUAAUCUAAAAAGCUGCCCUUCAAUUUAAGACUUUAAAAUUCCAUACUUUGCAGUCCUGUCUCGGCAACUCCUUUUAAAAUUAGCUUUCUCACUCCAUGAAGAAGCUUCAGCUCUUAACCUCCGUCAUGUUCUAAUAUUAUCUUUUUUCUUCUUUCUUCCUUUCUCAUACUAUUUUUUAAGGACGUCUCCAUUUUCCCCUAAAAUAAGACCUUCUUAUUAAUUAUCAAAUCUACUCUCACGAAUUUAACUCAAAACUACAGCUCAGUAUUUUCGCUAAUUUAUAAUUCCUAGAGAAUAAGAGUAAUCCCUAUCUUAACAGAAAAACUUAUCUGCGGUCUCCUCAAGAAGCGUUUCCUGCCUCUCAGCCGUCUCUGCGCUCGCUGCCUCAAUGCCUGCCUCCC